This 387-nucleotide ribosomal RNA is filed under the name Telonemia sp. RNAcentral describes it as "partial small subunit ribosomal RNA". It matches the Rfam family "Eukaryotic small subunit ribosomal RNA", at positions 582 to 975 of the family's 1831-position model. Lineage: Eukaryota; Telonemia. The record is from RNAcentral.
AUUCCAGCUCCAAUAGCGUAUAUUAAAGUUGUUGCAGUUAAAAAGCUCGUAGUUGGAGUUCAGAGUGAGCUCAGCCGGUCCGCCUCAUGGGUGAGUACUGGUCGACUCUCUCUUGUUUGUGAAUCCCGCCCGGAGUUAAUUCUUCGGGAUGUGGAGUUCACAUCGUUUACCUUGAAAAAAUUAGAGUGUUCAAAGCAGGCGUUUGCUUGAAUAUAUUAGCAUGGAAUAAUGGAAUAGGACCCUGGUUCUAUUUUGUUGGUUUUGAGAACCAGAGUAAUGAUUAAUAGGGAUAGUUGGGGGCAUUCAUAUUUCAUUGUCAGAGGUGAAAUUCUUGGAUUUAUGAAAGAUGAACUUCUGCGAAAGCAUUUGCCAAGGAUGUUUUCAUCG